Molecule: ribosomal RNA, 491 nt
Filed under: uncultured bacterium
Lineage: Bacteria
Description: partial 16S ribosomal RNA
Rfam family: Bacterial small subunit ribosomal RNA
Source: RNAcentral
AGUGAACGCUGGCGGUAGGCCUAACACAUGCAAGUCGAACGGCAGCACAGUAAGAGCUUGCUCUUACGGGUGGCGAGUGGCGGACGGGUGAGGAAUACAUCGGAAUCUACUUUUUCGUGGGGGAUAACGUAGGGAAACUUACGCUAAUACCGCAUACGACCUACGGGUGAAAGCAGGGGAUCUUCGGACCUUGCGCGAUUGAAUGAGCCGAUGUGGGAUUAGCUAGUUGGCGGGGUAAAGGCCCACCAAGGCGACGAUCCGUAGCUGGUCCGAGAGGAUGAUCAGCCACACUGGAACUGAGACACGGUCCAGACUCCUACGGGAGGCAGCAGUGGGGAAUAUUGGACAAUGGGCGCAAGCCUGAUCCAGCCAUACCGCGUGGGUGAAGAAGGCCUUCGGGUUGUAAAGCCCUUUUGUUGGGAAAGAAAAGCAGCAGGUUAAGACCCCGCUGUUCUGACGGUACCCAAAGAAGAAGCACCGGCUAACUUCGU